CUGGGGGACGGGGUGGCAUCACCAUGCACGUCGUACAGAUGGUAGCACGAGAGCUUGCUCUUGUGGAUCAGUGGCGAACGGGUGAGUAACACGUGAGCAACCUGCCCCUGACUCUGGGAUAAGCGCUGGAAACGGCGUCUAAUACUGGAUAUGUGACGUGACCGCAUGGUCUGCGUUUGGAAAGAUUUUUCGGUUGGGGAUGGGCUCGCGGCCUAUCAGCUUGUUGGUGAGGUAAUGGCUCACCAAGGCGUCGACGGGUAGCCGGCCUGAGAGGGUGACCGGCCACACUGGGACUGAGACACGGCCCAGACUCCUACGGGAGGCAGCAGUGGGGAAUAUUGCACAAUGGGCGAAAGCCUGAUGCAGCAACGCCGCGUGAGGGAUGACGGCCUUCGGGUUGUAAACCUCUUUUAGCAGGGAAGAAGCGAAAGUGACGGUACCUGCAGAAAAAGCGCCGGCUAACUACGUGCCAGCAGCCGCGGUAAUACGUAGGGCGCAAGCGUUAUCCGGAAUUAUUGGGCGUAAAGAGCUCGUAGGCGGUUUGUCGCGUCUGCUGUGAAAUCCCGAGGCUCAACCUCGGGCCUGCAGUGGGUACGGGCAGACUAGAGUGCGGUAGGGGAGAUUGGAAUUCCUGGUGUAGCGGUGGAAUGCGCAGAUAUCAGGAGGAACACCGAUGGCGAAGGCAGAUCUCUGGGCCGUAACUGACGCUGAGGAGCGAAAGGGUGGGGAGCAAACAGGCUUAGAUACCCUGGUAGUCCACCCCGUAAACGUUGGGAACUAGUUGUGGGGUCCAUUCCACGGAUUCCGUGACGCAGCUAACGCAUUAAGUUCCCCGCCUGGGGAGUACGGCCGCAAGGCUAAAACUCAAAGGAAUUGACGGGGACCCGCACAAGCGGCGGAGCAUGCGGAUUAAUUCGAUGCAACGCGAAGAACCUUACCAAGGCUUGACAUAUACGAGAACGGGCCAGAAAUGGUCAACUCUUUGGACACUCGUAAACAGGUGGUGCAUGGUUGUCGUCAGCUCGUGUCGUGAGAUGUUGGGUUAAGUCCCGCAACGAGCGCAACCCUCGUUCUAUGUUGCCAGCACGUAAUGGUGGGAACUCAUGGGAUACUGCCGGGGUCAACUCGGAGGAAGGUGGGGAUGACGUCAAAUCAUCAUGCCCCUUAUGUCUUGGGCUUCACGCAUGCUACAAUGGCCGGUACAAAGGGCUGCAAUACCGUGAGGUGGAGCGAAUCCCAAAAAGCCGGUCCCAGUUCGGAUUGAGGUCUGCAACUCGACCUCAUGAAGUCGGAGUCGCUAGUAAUCGCAGAUCAGCAACGCUGCGGUGAAUACGUUCCCGGGUCUUGUACACACCGCCCGUCA
Molecule: ribosomal RNA, 1363 nt
Filed under: Microbacterium sp. FS66
Lineage: Bacteria; Bacillati; Actinomycetota; Actinomycetes; Micrococcales; Microbacteriaceae
Description: bacterial SSU rRNA
Rfam family: Bacterial small subunit ribosomal RNA
Source: RNAcentral